This 498-nucleotide long non-coding RNA is filed under the name Helianthus annuus (common sunflower). Its description in RNAcentral is "hypothetical non coding rna". The record is from RNAcentral. Lineage: Eukaryota; Viridiplantae; Streptophyta; Magnoliopsida; Asterales; Asteraceae.
UGGUCUUUCUUCCAGUAAAAAACUGCUUGCAGUAAUUGGCGUUUAUUACCGGAUUCGGUAGUCGAUUAAAUAGAAAUGUUUUCCAGGGGAUCUUGGAUGCCAAAAGGUGAUUCUUUGAAAAAGCUUGAAGAAAGGGGAAUUGUCAUACGUUUUGUAAUUGGACGGAGGUUGUCUACUUGAUUUAUUUAUUAAUUUUUAUUUUAUUUUCUUAGUUUACAUUAUAUACAUAUUUUUUUUUUUUUUUUGUGGAUGAAAACUUUUAUAUUCACCAACUUGACAGUCAAGAUAACCUUUAAUCAAUCUGACAAAUAUAUUUAUAAAAUAUUUGCAAUGGGAGAAAAAAAAUAACGAUUUCCACAAUUUGGCUAAAGUUAUAAACUAGUAAUACGGUACUAAAUUUUGCUAACGGUCCUUUAGUAUAUUAUACUUCAUUUUGGCAACUAAUCAAAUCUAAUUAAACUUCGAAUUUUCAGUCCUAAUCGUGGUGAUAGCUUGGAC